UGUCGCCACUCUACUCACUUCAAUAGUAAAAAAUUGGAAGAGACAGAGAUGAUUAUCAUGGACCUGCACAAGGAUGAUGUAAACAUUGAUGAAGUAUUCUGUUUAUUU
Small nuclear RNA from Rhincodon typus (whale shark), 108 nucleotides. The record is from RefSeq and is a predicted model, not a curated record. NCBI's taxonomy places the organism in Eukaryota, Metazoa, Chordata, Chondrichthyes, Orectolobiformes, Rhincodontidae.